AAAGCUGCUAAUGAAGUGAGAUGGAAGCCACGUGCCUUGCCAGGAGCUUACUAACGUAAUGUGGCACCCGCCAGCCUAUUCUGCAGACAUAAUGGAAGAGAGUGUUUCCACUGCUCAUUCCACAGGCAAGCCACAGAUCCUGGCCACUCCUUGCCUUGGAGGCAGUACAGACACAUUCAUAGGGUUUGGCUCCUUUCCCUUGAGUUCUGCACCUUAAACUAAAGAAGUCAGUCACGCGAGGCUGGCUUGCUGGAACCGGCUAGAAAAUGCAGCCCUGCCUGCCGCAGGGAUCUCCUCCGGUAUGGCCACACAUAUGAGUUCUGGCAAUGCCCAUUAGUGAUAUGGCCGAUAGUUUCUUCUGUCUUGCUUCCAGGAACCUUUUCUUGGUUUGAAGCCACCGAACCAGAAGAGAGAAUUUUUACCACUUUGAGGACUUCUUGUGACGAAUCCAAUGGGAAUUCCAUAAUAUUCAGAAACAAAACAUUUUGAGGGCCAACAAAUUAUUAAGCCCUUUGCUAGGUCUUAGAGAUACAAAGAUAAAGAAGACUGGAGUUUUCUUUUUAUUAUCUACCAGACUGAAGGCCACUGCCUGGGGACUUGAUCUAAGAGAAGAAAUAUCAGGAGACCUGGGUUUGGCUCCUGGCUCUGCCAGGUGAUCAUGGAGCAGUCACGUAUUAUCCCUGAGCUUCCGUUUCCUCAUCUACUUAAUUAGUGAUGGGUCUACAGGGCCUUGCUGGGGUCCACUUCUGACAUUCUGUGUUGCAUGGACCAUGUCAGAGAAGAUGGAGACACCUUCACGGCCUGUUAGUCACAUCUCACCAAAGCUUCUCAAUGGGCUGUCAGACAAGAAAGGAGCCUCCUGUAGCCAUCUUAAUCAGCAUCCCCCAUCUGUGAGGUCAUCGGGAUAUUUCAAACAAUCUUCAGCUCUCAUUAGUUGAGUGCGUUUCACAGGCAAGUCCUUAUCUUUUGUAACUUUUGCUGCCACAUCCUGAGAAAGGCCUCUCUGCAGAAUGACACUUUCCCUAUGGGUCAGCCCGCCAUAAUGAGCCACCAACUGAGGUGCCCUUUGCACUCACUAGCUGUAUAUGUUGAUAUUAACCUUUCGUGUUGCGAGAUGUCGCUUUUACCCUUGGCUUCUGCCAUGUAAGUCUCAUUAUUUCUAAUAGGCUGUGGCAAUUAGGGUCUUGGGGCUGCUGAUCGCAGCCAUGUGGAGCGGGGAAGGGGCACUGGGGAGAGCAGUUGCUUUUUCUUUCAUGAACAAUGUGAUGCAUAGCUCAGCCCAGAUCUGCAAACAGCGAGCUGUAGUAGACCUCCGGCCGAGGAUGGGAAAUUCCACACCCAGCGCUUUCACAUGUCCUUUCUUCACGCCAACUACUGGCUAUUUGCAAAUCCCUUUUGUGUAGAAUGACAUGCUUGGCAGAUAUUUCAGCACAUUGGAUUUGGCCUAAUAAGGAAUUUAUUAAACAAGAUUAUUUGGGGAUAAAAUGGAUACAUUCAAAGACACUCUUUUUUUUUCUUUUAAAGAUAGUUGUCCGGAAAAGGAAGAGGAUGACACUGAUGACCAGCCGUCUUGGGUGGUUCACAGGCUCACUAAGGAGGCAGUGUUGAGCCUGACGGAUCUGUGAAGGCCCCUCCGACUUGUAACUGUAAAAUGAUGACUCUUGAUGGAACUCUACAGUUGUUGACACCUGGUGGGCCACCUACAGCUGAAGGUUCAAAGUGAUAAAACAAACCUGGUACGGAAAUAACUGAUUGUGGAACGCGAAGGACCUGUGAUCAUGCAAAGGUGACAGAGCAGACACUGAUAGUAGAACUGUGGAGAAGUAUCCCUGGAGAUGACCCACAAUCUCAAGAAGGCUGAAGAGGAGAGGAAGAGAAUGGAUAAAUCGAAACAAGUGUUUAGAUGAUCAAGGCCUUAUAAGCCAUACCGCCAUGUAAGACGUGCCAUUCACCUUCCACCAUGAUUG
RNAcentral lists this long non-coding RNA (1967 nucleotides) under Homo sapiens (human). RNAcentral's name for it is "HSALNT0301804". Lineage: Eukaryota; Metazoa; Chordata; Mammalia; Primates; Hominidae. The record is from RNAcentral.